This 453-nucleotide ribosomal RNA is filed under the name uncultured Alloprevotella sp. RNAcentral describes it as "partial 16S ribosomal RNA". It matches the Rfam family "Bacterial small subunit ribosomal RNA", at positions 341 to 792 of the family's 1533-position model. The record is from RNAcentral. Lineage: Bacteria; Pseudomonadati; Bacteroidota; Bacteroidia; Bacteroidales; Prevotellaceae.
ACGGGAGGCAGCAGUGAGGAAUAUUGGUCAAUGGGCGAGAGCCUGAACCAGCCAAGUAGCGUGCAGGAUGACGGCCCUCCGGGUUGUAAACUGCUUUUAGUUGGGAAUAAAGAGAGGGACGUGUCCCUUAUUGUAUGUACCAUCUGAAAAAGGACCGGCUAAUUCCGUGCCAGCAGCCGCGGUAAUACGGAAGGUCCGGGCGUUAUCCGGAUUUAUUGGGUUUAAAGGGAGCGUAGGCGGGCCUUUAAGUCAGUGGUAAAAGCGGGGGGCUCAACCAUACCACGCCAUUGAAACUGGAGGCCUUGAGUGCACACAGGGAUGCUGGAAUUCGUCGUGUAGCGGUGAAAUGCUUAGAUAUGACGAAGAACUCCGAUCGCGAAGGCAGGUGUCCGGGGUGUAACUGACGCUGAGGCUCGAAAGUGCGGGUAUCAAACAGGAUUAGAUACCCUGGUA